CAAUUAGAGAACUCGGAGGUGGA
This 23-nucleotide non-coding RNA is filed under the name Arabidopsis thaliana (thale cress). The record is from RNAcentral. Lineage: Eukaryota; Viridiplantae; Streptophyta; Magnoliopsida; Brassicales; Brassicaceae.